UGAACAUGUAGCAAUUUGAGCAGAUGAAUUUAUGGAUUAUCAAUCAGAUGCAUGAAGACGAAUGGAGGACGUUAUGAGGUCAGUCAGAGGCUGAACUGAACGCCAAACACACAGCAGUCUCCUUCCUUAGCCAAUCAUCAUCCGGGGCACUAUCCACUCGCCAUACCGAGACCGGAUACACAAACACGGUUCCUGUGUACCGUUGCUAACUCACAGCUAGUUUAUGCUAACGUCUGUACAGUUGGUACUUUGGCUGUUUGGGGGCGAAUAAACAAACGACCCCCGCGGUCACAUUUACCGGAACGAUCGGUGCUUUUAUUUGUCUCACAGCUGCAGAUUUGCAGCCUGGGAAGAAGAGGAAGCUUCUACACAUCUUCUCUGAGCUGAAGCUCUGAGAUGAGUGCAGAGUUUCCGGACGACAACAGAGAAGUUCCUUCACUCCAUUCAUGCCGCCUUCUCUCCGUACUCACUGUAUACUCAUAGUAUUGUAUGUCAUGAAAUAAUUUAAUAAAAAAGUAAGUAAUAGUA
Molecule: long non-coding RNA, 528 nt
Organism: Perca flavescens (yellow perch)
Lineage: Eukaryota; Metazoa; Chordata; Actinopteri; Perciformes; Percidae
Exons: 2
Source: RefSeq, a predicted model, not a curated record